Molecule: ribosomal RNA, 518 nt
Filed under: Fusarium chlamydosporum
Lineage: Eukaryota; Fungi; Ascomycota; Sordariomycetes; Hypocreales; Nectriaceae
Description: eukaryotic LSU rRNA
Rfam family: 5.8S ribosomal RNA (bases 149-302)
Source: RNAcentral
GGGAAUUCGAGUCACUCCAACCCCUGUGACAUACCUAUACGUUGCCUCGGCGGAUCAGCCCGCGCCCCGUAAAAAGGGACGGCCCGCCCGAGGACCCCUAAACUCUGUUUUUAGUGGAACUUCUGAGUAAAACAAACAAAUAAAUCAAAACUUUCAACAACGGAUCUCUUGGUUCUGGCAUCGAUGAAGAACGCAGCAAAAUGCGAUAAGUAAUGUGAAUUGCAGAAUUCAGUGAAUCAUCGAAUCUUUGAACGCACAUUGCGCCCGCCAGUAUUCUGGCGGGCAUGCCUGUUCGAGCGUCAUUUCAACCCUCAAGCUCAGCUUGGUGUUGGGACUCGCGGUAACCCGCGUUCCCCAAAUCGAUUGGCGGUCACGUCGAGCUUCCAUAGCGUAGUAAUCAUACACCUCGUUACUGGUAAUCGUCGCGGCCACGCCGUAAAACCCCAACUUCUGAAUGUUGACCUCGGAUCAGGUAGGAAUACCCGCUGAACUUAAGCAUAUCAAAACCCGGGAGGAAA